Molecule: ribosomal RNA, 425 nt
Filed under: uncultured bacterium
Lineage: Bacteria
Description: bacterial SSU rRNA
Rfam family: Bacterial small subunit ribosomal RNA
Source: RNAcentral
GGGCCCGCACAAGCGGUGGAGUAUGUGGUUUAAUUCGAUGCAACGCGAAGAACCUUACCAGGGUUUGACAUCCUGCGAAUCUCUUGGAAACAGGAGAGUGCCUUCGGGAACGCAGUGACAGGUGGUGCAUGGCUGUCGUCAGCUCGUGUCGUGAGAUGUUGGGUUAAGUCCCGCAACGAGCGCAACCCACGUCUUUAGUUGCCAGCAUUUAGUUGGGCACUCUAGAGAGACUGCCGGUGAUAAACCGGAGGAAGGUGUGGAUGACGUCAAGUCAUCAUGCCCCUUACAUCCUGGGCUACACACGUACUACAAUGCUACGGACAAUGAGCAGCCACAUGGUGACAUGGAGCUAAUCUUCAAACCGUAUCUCAGUUCGGAUCGAAGUCUGCAACUCGACUUCGUGAAGCUGGAAUCGCUAGUAAUCG